CAAGUCAUGACGUUGGUCAAGGAGUGCCUGGACUGCUCUAUAUUUAGGUGGUCAGGGCGAUACUUCAAGCAGGUCAGGGGUUU
Molecule: microRNA precursor, 83 nt
Filed under: Haemonchus contortus (barber pole worm)
Lineage: Eukaryota; Metazoa; Nematoda; Chromadorea; Rhabditida; Trichostrongylidae
Description: microRNA hco-mir-5957 precursor
Source: miRBase by way of RNAcentral